UUGGUAGGCAGGGUGAGAAUCCCAAGGCGCUUGAGAGAACUCGGGUGAAGGAACUAGGCAAAAUGGCACCGUAACUUCGGGAGAAGGUGCGCCCUUUGACGUGGUCACAUGCGUGACUGAGCGUUGAAGGGUCGCAGUAACCUGGCCGCUGCGACUGUUUAUCAAAAACACAGCACUCUGCAAACACGAAAGUGGACGUAUAGGGUGUGACGCCUGCCCGGUGCUGGAAGGUUAAUUGAUGGGGUCAGCCGCAAGGCGAAGCUCUUGAUCGAAGCCCCAGUAAACGGCGGCCGUAACGAUAACGGUCCUAAGGUAGCGAAAUUCCUUGUCGGGUAAGUUCCGACCUGCACGAAUGGCGUAACGACAGCGGCGCUGUCUCCACCCGAGACUCAGUGAAAUUGAAUUCGCUGUGAAGAUGCAGCGUUCCCGCGGCAAGACGGAAAGACCCCGUGAACCUUUACUAUAGCUUUACACUGAACGUUGAGUUCUUCUGUGUAGGAUAGGUGGGAGGCUUUGAAGCGCAGACGCCAGUUUGCGUGGAGCCAACCUUGAAAUACCACCCUGAAGUGCUUGACGUUCUAACCUCGGCCCGUAAUCCGGGUCAGGGACCGUGUAUGGUGGGUAGUUUGACUGGGGCGGUCUCCUCCCAAAGAGUAACGGAGGAGCACGAAGGUACGCUCAGCGCGGUCGGACAUCGCGCACUGUGUGCAAUGGCAUAAGCGUGCUUGACUGCGAGAUCGACGGAUCAAGCAGGUACGAAAGUAGGUCAUAGUGAUCCGGUGGUUCUGUAUGGAAGGGCCAUCGCUCAACGGAUAAAAGGUACUCCGGGGAUAACAGGCUGAUACCGCCCAAGAGUUCAUAUCGACGGCGGUGUUUGGCACCUCGAUGUCGGCUCAUCACAUCCUGGGGCUGUAGCCGGUCCCAAGGGUAUGGCUGUUCGCCAUUUAAAGUGGUACGCGAGCUGGGUUCAGAACGUCGUGAGACAGUUCGGUCCCUAUCUGUCGUGGGCGUUGGAGAUUUGAGGGGGGCUGCUCCUAGUACGAGAGGACCGGAGUGGACGUUCCGCUGGUGUUCGGGUUGUCAUGCCCAUGGCAUUGCCCGGUAGCUAUGAACGGAAGUGAUAACCGCUGAAAGCAUCUAAGCGGGAAGCACGCCCCAAGAUGAGAUCUCCCGAGAGCUUGACUCUCCUAAAGGCACCAUCAAGACCAGGUGGUUGAUAGGUCAGGUGUGGAAGCGCAGCAAUGCGUUGAGCUAACUGAUACUAAUGAGCCGUGCGGCUUGACC
This 1284-nucleotide ribosomal RNA is filed under the name metagenome. Its description in RNAcentral is "bacterial LSU rRNA". It matches the Rfam family "Bacterial large subunit ribosomal RNA", at positions 1660 to 2925 of the family's 2925-position model. The record is from RNAcentral.